UACGUAGGGUGCGAGCGUUAAUCGGAAUUACUGGGCGUAAAGCGUGCGCAGGCGGUUCGUUGUGUCCGAUGUGAAAGCCCCGAGCUCAACUUGGGAAUGGCAUUGGAAACUGGCGAGCUGGAGUGUGGCAGAGGGGGGUGGAAUUCCACGUGUAGCAGUGAAAUGCGUAGAGAUGUGGAGGAACACCGAUGGCGAAGGCAGCCCCCUGGGCCAACACUGACGCUGAGGCGCGAAAGCGUGGGGAGCGAACAGG
RNAcentral lists this ribosomal RNA (253 nucleotides) under uncultured bacterium. Its description in RNAcentral is "partial 16S ribosomal RNA". It matches the Rfam family "Bacterial small subunit ribosomal RNA", at positions 524 to 776 of the family's 1533-position model. The record is from RNAcentral.